This 253-nucleotide ribosomal RNA is filed under the name uncultured bacterium. RNAcentral's name for it is "partial 16S ribosomal RNA". It matches the Rfam family "Bacterial small subunit ribosomal RNA", at positions 524 to 776 of the family's 1533-position model. The record is from RNAcentral.
UACGGAGGGUCCAAGCGUUAUCCGGAAUCAUUGGGUUUAAAGGGUCCGUAGGCGGUUUUGUAAGUCAGUGGUGAAAGCCCAUCGCUCAACGGUGGAACGGCCAUUGAUACUGCAAGACUUGAAUUAUUAGGAAGUAACUAGAAUAUGUAGUGUAGCGGUGAAAUGCUUAGAGAUUACAUGGAAUACCAAUUGCGAAGGCAGGUUACUACUAAUGGAUUGACGCUGAUGGACGAAAGCGUGGGGAGCAAACAGG